Molecule: ribosomal RNA, 468 nt
Filed under: uncultured bacterium
Lineage: Bacteria
Description: partial 16S ribosomal RNA
Rfam family: Bacterial small subunit ribosomal RNA
Source: RNAcentral
GACGAACGCUGGCGGCGUGCUUAACACAUGCAAGUCGAACGGAAAGGCCCUGCUUUUGUGGGGUGCUCGAGUGGCGAACGGGUGAGUAACACGUGAGUAACCUGCCCUUGACUUUGGUAUAACUUCAUGACACUUGGUCUAAUACCGGAUAGGAGCUCCUGCUUCAUGGUGGGGGUUGGAAAGUUUCGGCGGUUGGGGAUGGACUCGCGGCUUAUCAGCUUGUUGGUGGGGUAGUGGCUUACCAAGGCUUUGACGGGUAGCCGGCCUGAGAGGGUGACCGGCCACAUUGGGACUGAGAUACGGCCCAGACUCCUACGGGAGGCAGCAGUGGGGAAUAUUGCACAAUGGGCGGAAGCCUGAUGCAGCAACGCCGCGUGCGGGAUGAAGGCCUUCGGGUUGUAAACCGCUUUCGCCUGUGACGAAGCGUGAGUGACGGUAAUGGGUAAAGAAGCACCGGCUAACUACGUG